Molecule: non-coding RNA, 221 nt
Organism: Lupinus albus (white lupine)
Lineage: Eukaryota; Viridiplantae; Streptophyta; Magnoliopsida; Fabales; Fabaceae
Source: the annotation of a GenBank genome assembly
GGGUUGGAAAUAAGGAUAAACAUGAACUGUGUCUCUAAAAUCAUUUUGUAUUUGAGUAAUUCUGCACAUGAAGGCUAUGCAAGAGAUGGCACAAAGGUCAUUCUGUGAUGAGGUGAGACUGGAAGCAAGAGCAAAUUGGGCAGCAGAAGCCCAGCCGGAAGAAGCCAUCCAUUUCCUAUGGUCAUCUAGAGGCUUGUUUUCUCGUCUUUCUACCUUGUCCC